This 907-nucleotide ribosomal RNA is filed under the name uncultured archaeon. RNAcentral describes it as "bacterial SSU rRNA". It matches the Rfam family "Archaeal small subunit ribosomal RNA", at positions 5 to 887 of the family's 1478-position model. The record is from RNAcentral.
UGGUUGAUCCUGCCGGACCCUACUGCUAUCGGGAUGGGACUAAGACAUGCUAGUCGUGCGCCUCCAAGCCAUGGUGGAGGCGCGGCGCACAGCUCAGUAACACGUGGUUAACCUGCCCUUGGGACGGAAACACCCCCGGGAAACUGGGGCUAAUUUCCGAUAGGUGAAGGCUCCUGGAAUGGAUCUUCGCCUAAAGAGCGCUUAGACCAUGCUUCUAGGCGCUGCCCAAGGAUGGGACCGCGGCCGAUCAGGUUGUUGGUGAGGUAACGGCUCACCAAGCCUUUAACCGGUACGGGCCGUGGGAGCGGGAGCCCGGAGAUGGGCACUGAGACAAGGGCCCAGGCCCUACGGGGCGCAGCAGUCGCGAAAACUCCGCAAUACGCGAAGGCGUGACGGGGUCAUCCCGAGUGCCGUCCGCUGAGGAUGGCUUUUCCCCAUUGUAGAUAGCUGGGGGAAUAAGGAGAGGGCAAGUCUGGUGUCAGCCGCCGCGGUAAUACCAGCUCUCCGAGUGGUGGGGACGUUUAUUGGGCCUAAAGCAUCCGUAGCCAGCUGAGCAAGUCCUCAGUUAAAUCCAGCGAUUUAAUCGUUGGACUGCUGGGGAUACUGUCCGGCUAGGGGGUGGGAGAGGCCGACGGUAUUCCUGGGGUAGGGGUGAAAUCCUAUAAUCCCGGGAGGACCACCAGUGGCGAAGGCUGUCGGCUAGAACAUGCCCGACGGUGAGGGAUGAAAGCUGGGGGAGCGAACCGGAUUAGAUACCCGGGUAGUCCCAGCUGUAAACGAUGCAGGCUAGGUGUUAGGGCGGCCACGUGCCGCUCUAGUGCCGCAGGGAAGCUGUUAAGCCUGCCGCCUGGGGAGUACGGCCGCAAGGCUGAAACUUAAAGGAAUUGGCGGGGGAGCACCACAAGGG